UACAGAGGUCUCAAGCGUUGUUCGGAUUCAUUGGGCGUAAAGGGUGCGUAGGCGGCGCGGUAAGUCGGGUGUGAAAUCUCGGAGCUUAACUCCGAAACUGCAUUCGAUACUGCCGUGCUUGAGGACUGGAGAGGAGACUGGAAUUUACGGUGUAGCGGUGAAAUGCGUAGAUAUCGUAAGGAAGACCAGUGGCGAAGGCGGGUCUCUGGACAGUUCCUGAUGCUGAUGCACGAAGGCCAGGGGAGCAAACGGG
RNAcentral lists this ribosomal RNA (253 nucleotides) under uncultured bacterium. Its description in RNAcentral is "partial 16S ribosomal RNA". It matches the Rfam family "Bacterial small subunit ribosomal RNA", at positions 524 to 776 of the family's 1533-position model. The record is from RNAcentral.